This 651-nucleotide ribosomal RNA is filed under the name uncultured Microbacteriaceae bacterium. RNAcentral's name for it is "bacterial SSU rRNA". It matches the Rfam family "Bacterial small subunit ribosomal RNA", at positions 95 to 760 of the family's 1533-position model. The record is from RNAcentral. Lineage: Bacteria; Bacillati; Actinomycetota; Actinomycetes; Micrococcales; Microbacteriaceae.
GUGGCGAACGGGUGAGUAGCACGUGAGUAACCUGCCCUUGACUCUGGGAUAACUGCUAGAAAUGGUAGCUAAUACCGGAUACGACCCUCGGAGGCAUCUCCAGGGGGUGGAAAGAAUUUCGGUCAAGGAUGGACUCGCGGCCUAUCAGCUAGUUGGUGAGGUAAUGGCUCACCAAGGCGACGACGGGUAGCCGGCCUGAGAGGGUGACCGGCCACACUGGGACUGAGACACGGCCCAGACUCCUACGGGAGGCAGCAGUGGGGAAUAUUGCACAAUGGGCGAAAGCCUGAUGCAGCAACGCCGCGUGAGGGACGAAGGCCUUCGGGUUGUAAACCUCUUUUAGUAGGGAAGAAGCGAAAGUGACGGUACCUGCAGAAAAAGCACCGGCUAACUACGUGCCAGCAGCCGCGGUAAUACGUAGGGUGCAAGCGUUGUCCGGAAUUAUUGGGCGUAAAGAGCUCGUAGGCGGUUUGUCGCGUCUGCUGUGAAAUCCCGAGGCUCAACCUCGGGCCUGCAGUGGGUACGGGCAGACUAGAGUGCGGUAGGGGAGAUUGGAAUUCCUGGUGUAGCGGUGGAAUGCGCAGAUAUCAGGAGGAACACCAAUGGCGAAGGCAGAUCUCUGGGCCGUUACUGACGCUGAGGAGCGAAAGC